This 332-nucleotide ribosomal RNA is filed under the name uncultured bacterium. RNAcentral describes it as "bacterial SSU rRNA". It matches the Rfam family "Bacterial small subunit ribosomal RNA", at positions 568 to 898 of the family's 1533-position model. The record is from RNAcentral.
UCCGUAGGCGGUGCGGCAAGUCGGAAGUGAAAUCUCAGGGCUUAACCCUGAGGCUGCUUCCGAAACUGCCGUGCUCGAGUGCGAGAGAGGCGAGUGGAAUUGCAGGUGUAGCGGUGAAAUGCGUAGAUAUCUGCAGGAACAUCCGAGGCGAAAGCGGCUCGCUGGAUCGCAACUGACGCUGAGGGACGAAAAGCUAGGGGGAGCAAACAGGAUUAGAUACCCUGGUAGUCCUAGCCCUAAACGAUCAGGACUGGGCGUGGGCCUCGUACGGGGCUCGUGCCGCAGCUAACGCGUUAAGUCCUGCGCCUGGGGAGUACGGUCGCAAGGCUGAA